ACCCAGACUCCUACGGGAGGCAGCAGUGGGGAAUAUUGCACAAUGGGGGGAACCCUGAUGCAGCAAUGCCGCGUGAAGGAUGAAGGUUUUCGGAUUGUAAACUUCUUUUGUACGGGACGAAGAAAGUGACGGUACCGUAAGAAUAAGCCACGGCUAACUACGUGCCAGCAGCCGCGGUAAUACGUAGGUGGCAAGCGUUAUCCGGAUUUACUGGGUGUAAAGGGCGAGUAGGCGGGAUUGCAAGUCUGAUGUGAAAGGCCGGGGCCCAACCCCGGGACUGCAUUGGAAACUGCGAGGCUGGAGUGUCGGAGAGGCAGGCGGAAUUCCUAGUGUAGCGGUGAAAUGCGUAGAUAUUAGGAGGAACACCAGUGGCGAAGGCGGCCUGCUGGACUGCAACUGACGUUGAGGCCCGAAAGCGUGGGGAGCAAACAGGAUUAGAUACCCCGGUAU
RNAcentral lists this ribosomal RNA (450 nucleotides) under uncultured bacterium. Its description in RNAcentral is "partial 16S ribosomal RNA". It matches the Rfam family "Bacterial small subunit ribosomal RNA", at positions 329 to 793 of the family's 1533-position model. The record is from RNAcentral.